This 285-nucleotide ribosomal RNA is filed under the name uncultured bacterium. RNAcentral describes it as "partial 16S ribosomal RNA". It matches the Rfam family "Bacterial small subunit ribosomal RNA", at positions 796 to 1081 of the family's 1533-position model. The record is from RNAcentral.
CACGCAGUAAACGAUGCCGACUAGGCGUGGGGGGAGUUGACCCCCUCCGUGCCGGAGCCAACGCGGGAAGUCGGCCGCCUGGGGAGUACGGCCGCAAGGCUAAAACUCAAAGGAAUUGACGGGGGCCCGCACAAGCGGCGGAGCGUGCGGUUUAAUUCGACGCGACGCGUAGAACCUUACCAAGGCUUGACAUGCGCCUGCAUCCCCGGGAAACCGGGUGGCCUUCGAGGGUGGCGCACAGGUGCUGCAUGGCUGUCCUCAGCUCGUGCCGUGAGGUGUUGGGUU